RNAcentral lists this ribosomal RNA (484 nucleotides) under uncultured bacterium. RNAcentral's name for it is "partial 16S ribosomal RNA". It matches the Rfam family "Bacterial small subunit ribosomal RNA", at positions 30 to 507 of the family's 1533-position model. The record is from RNAcentral.
AUUGAACGCUGGCGGCAGGCCUAACACAUGCAAGUCGAGCGGAUGAAGGGAGCUUGCUCCUGGAUUCAGCGGCGGACGGGUGAGUAAUGCCUAGGAAUCUGCCUGGUAGUGGGGGAUAACGUCCGGAAACGGGCGCUAAUACCGCAUACGUCCUGAGGGAGAAAGUGGGGGAUCUUCGGACCUCACGCUAUCAGAUGAUCCUAGGUCGGAUUAGCUAGUUGGUGGGGUAAAGGCCUACCAAGGCGACGAUCCGUAACUGGUCUGAGAGGAUGAUCAGUCACACUGGAACUGAGACACGGUCCAGACUCCUACGGGAGGCAGCAGUGGGGAAUAUUGGACAAUGGGCGAAAGCCUGAUCCAGCCAUGCCGCGUGUGUGAAGAAGGUCUUCGGAUUGUAAAGCACUUUAAGUUGGGAGGAAGGGCAGUAAGUUAAUACCUUGCUGUUUUGACGUUACCAAAAGAAUAAGCACCGGCUAACUUCGUG